Molecule: ribosomal RNA, 395 nt
Filed under: uncultured bacterium
Lineage: Bacteria
Description: bacterial SSU rRNA
Rfam family: Bacterial small subunit ribosomal RNA
Source: RNAcentral
GGACGGGUGAGUAAUACGUAGGAAUCUGCCCUGGAGUGGGGGAUAACCCGGGGAAACUCGGGCUAAUACCGCAUACGCUCUUUUAUCGUUGAGAUAGGAGAGGAAAGCGAGGGACCGAAAGGCCUCGCGCUAGAGGAUGAGCCUACGCCCGAUUAGCUAGUUGGUAGGGUAAAGGCCUACCAAGGCGACGAUCGGUAGCUGGUCUGAGAGGAUGGCCAGCCACACUGGGACUGGGACACGGCCCAGACUCCUACGGGAGGCAGCAGUGGGGAAUAUUGGACAAUGGGGGAAACCCUGAUCCAGCGAUGCCGCGUGGGUGAAGAAGGCCUGCGGGUUGUAAAGCCCUUUCAGUGGGGAAGAAAAACGGGGUGUGAACAGCGCUUCGUCUUGACGUU